UACGUAGGGUGCGAAGCGUUGUCCGGAAUUAUUGGGCGUAAAGAGCUCGUAGGCGGUCUGUCGCGUCGGCUGUGAAAUCCCGGAGCUCAACUCCGGGUCUGCAGUCGAUACGGGCAAACUGGAGUACUGCAGGGGAGACUGGAAUUCCUGGUGUAGCGGUGAAAUGCGCAGAUAUCAGGAGGAACACCGGUGGCGAAAGGCGGG
This 204-nucleotide ribosomal RNA is filed under the name uncultured bacterium. Its description in RNAcentral is "partial 16S ribosomal RNA". It matches the Rfam family "Bacterial small subunit ribosomal RNA", at positions 524 to 725 of the family's 1533-position model. The record is from RNAcentral.